RNAcentral lists this long non-coding RNA (6032 nucleotides) under Gossypium barbadense (sea-island cotton). RNAcentral's name for it is "long non-coding RNA (GBAR_LNC012946)". Lineage: Eukaryota; Viridiplantae; Streptophyta; Magnoliopsida; Malvales; Malvaceae. The record is from RNAcentral.
UCUAGUAUGUGGACAAGCCACUUUCAGUACUUCCUUCGUCAAUAUCCCAAUCCCAUGCAUCAGAUAAUAACAACAUGGCAUGCAGUAAAUAACAACAGUCAAACAUGCAUUUAAGUCAAUUUAACCCUAGGGGUAUUUCGGUAAUUUAUCUCCUAAGGGUAAAACUGUAAAUUUUUCACUUUUAAAGGUAUUUCAGUAAUUUAUCUAUUUUAGGGUUUUUCAUGCAUAUUCCUACCUUUCACGUACUACAGAAUCACGUACCGAGGGUUCUUACCGAAUUGGGCCCGUUGGCCCAUCAUUCCAAUUUUGGCCCAUUAAGCCCAAAAAUAUUGAGGGCACAGAAAUCAUGCACUUUGCAGUCCAAACUUUGCAGCUUACCAAAAACAUUAAUCAAUUUACCUCACGAGCAUUCGCACACUCGCAAAUCUACAAAAUACCGGUUUUUGGCAUUUUGGCUUUUCGACUUUUGCCGAUCUAGACUAAGAAAGAGGGUGUUAGUUACACACCUGUUUGCGAUGAUAUGCUGACGAGAUCCACACACGAACUGCCUACAAUUUGAUUAGUAACACGUUAAUCUAACUAUUCAAAUACAAACUACGUAUUAACCCCUUACAAUAUUCGGCCAACCAUACCUACAGGUCAUAGUAAGCUUAUAAGAAAUCAAUAAGCAACUCAUUAACAAAUUUUUGUCAAUGUUUACCACAUAAUCAUAAUUUCACUGCAAGCUGUCUUCCUGAGCAACAGUCACUAAAUUAUUUAUAACUGGAGCUACGAAACUCCAAAUCAAGUUCCGUUAAUUUUCCCUGAAAAUAGACUCAUAUAUCUUCUAUCCAUAAAAUAUUUAGAAUUUUUGGUUUAGCCAAUCAAUACCAGAUUUUUCUCAAAUUUUCCCAUGUUUCACUGUUUGACUAAUCUGACCACUCUUCAUUACAAAUCAAAUUUCUCAUUGUACACAAUUCAAAAUAUGUUCUUGUUUAUUUUAUUAGAAACUAGACUCAAUAAGCUUUAAUUACAUAAUUUAUUCAGCUUCUAAUUCAUCUCCCACAAUUUAUGGUGAUUUUCCAAAGUCACGUUACUGCUGCUGUCCCAAGCAGAUUUAUUACCAAAUCACUCUUUCACACAUAACUGGCAUGCAUGUUAUUUAAACAUGUAUAUCACCAAUCAAUCAUCACAUAUCUAUGAUUUUACUUAAGAAUAAUCUCCAUUUCAUCAUUUUAAAGCACAACAUGUUAGCCGAUUUUUCCCCUUAGUAUCUAAGGCACAUGCAUGCUCAUUUGUUUGGCUCAACUUCACAUAUCUUCCAUUUUUCAUCAAAAGAACAUGAAACAACAACCAUUUCCUUCAUUUUAAUUCAUGACCAAAUGAUCACAACACAACCAAAAACCAAAAUAUGCUUCAAGAGUUAAGGUAGAAUCAAGAAGAACUCAUGAACCUCAAAAUAGAAACAAGGUACCAAGAACUUACCUUCAAUUUUCCUCCUCCUAAUGACCGAAUACUCAAGAGCUUUCUCCUCUCCUUUCUCUUCUCUAACUUUCAGCUAUGAUGAACAAAGAUGGACAAAACUUUGUUCUUUUCACCCCUUUUUCUUUUAAUAAAACUUCAUAUUUCAUCCAUUUAAUUCUUUAAUACAAAAGACAUGAAAUUCUUAUCAUGAAACAUUUACCUAACCCAUUAUCAUGAAACAUUUACCUAACCCAUUAUCAUGAAACAUUUACCUAAACAUUUACCUAACCCAUUAUCAAGAAACAUUUACCUAACCUAUUAUCAUGGAACAUUUACCUAACCUAUUAUCAAUUUGUAUCAAUUUGUACCAUAAAUUAUGGAUAUCAAGCGUACAUUUUGUCUACAACAACAUGAUGGCUGGCCACUUCAUGUAAAAUGGGAGGUUUGUCAUGCAAAUCCUCCUAUUUUGCACUCCUAUUUAUUUGGCCACUUCAAUUUAGCCUAUAGCAUUUUCAAACAUUUUCACAUAGGUCCUAUUUCAUAAUUUCACUCACAAAUGACAAAAUCAAAGCAUGAAAUUUUGUCAACAUUCACAGAAUUCCCGAAAAUUGGGGCGUUACAACUCUACCCUCCUUAAAGAAAUUUCGUCCUCGAAAUUUACCUAAUCCAAACAUAUGAGGGUAUUGCUAUUGCAUCGUCUCUUCUGGCUCCCAAACUCAGAAGUUUCCCCUUCCUUAACUUGUUGAAAACGAGCGACCAAAGACUCAUCUUUCAACUGUUUUUCCUUAAUCUGAUCCACCCAGGUUGGCCUCAUUUGCAACUCAGCCAACAGACUUCCAUCAUCAUACAGACUCAGACGAGCAAACAUUGUUCUCAGAUCAGAUACAGCUCUACGACUUAGAGCAUCGGCUACCACAUUGCCUUGCUUGGGUGAUACUCGAUCGAACAGUCAUAAUCCUUAAGCAACUCAAUCCAUCUCCUUUGCCUAAGGUUCAGCUCCUUCUGAGUCAACAAAUACUUAAGACUCUUAUGGUCAGUGUAUAUAAUACACCUUUCUCCGUACAAGUAAUGUCUCCAAAUCUUAAGUGCAAAUAUCACUGCUGCCAACUCUAAAUCAUGAGUCAAAUAGUUUCCCUCAUGAGGCUUAAGCUAUUGUGAUGCAUAUGCAACCACCUUACCCUCUUGCAUUAACACGCAGCCCAAACCCACGUGUGAUGCGUCACUGUACACAGUAAAAUCUUUCCCAGACUCCGGCUGAAUUAAUACAGGUGCUUCAGUCAGAACUUUCUUCAACUUCUCAAAAGCCUCCUGUUGGGUCUCAGUCCAUACAAACGGUACCCCUUUCCUUAUGAGUUUUGUCAGAGGUGCUGCCAUCACAGAAAAACCUUCCACAAACCUUCUGUAGUAUCCUGCCAACCCUAGGAAACUUCGAAUUUUCGACACCGUCCUAGGCGGCUUCCACUCCAAAAUCACUUCAAUUUUCCGAGGGUUUACCUUAAUCCCCUCAGCAGAGACCACAUGUCCUAAGAAGGUUACCUCCCUUAACCAAAAUUCACACUUGCUGAACUUCGCAAAGAGUUCCUUCUCCCUUAAUACUUACAGCACUAUACGGAGAUGCUCAUCAUGUUUCGUUUCAGUUUCAGAAUAUACCAGGAUAUCGUCAAUAAAGACGACUAAGAGCUGAUCCAAAAAUGGUUGGAACACACGAUUCAUCAGAUCCAUAAACGCUGCAGGAGCGUUCGUUAGUCCAAAUGGCAUAACUAGAAACUCGUAAUGACCAUACUGAGUCUUGAAUGUCAUCUUUUGGAUAUCUGCCUCAUUGACCCUUAACUGAUGAUAUCCAGAUCGAAGGUCGAUCUUAGAAAAUACAGAAGCUCCUCUAAGCUGGUCGAAUAGAUCGUCAAUCCUUGGUAGUGGAUACUUAUUCUUAAUCGUCAGUUUGUUCAACUGGCGAUAAUCAAUGCACAUUCGCAUCGUACCAUCCUUCUUUUUCACGAAUAGCACCGGUGCUCCCCAUGAAGACACGCUUGGCCUAAUGAAGUCCCUAUCCAAAAACUCUUGAAUUUGAGCCUUUAACUCCACUAACUCCUUCGGUGCCAUCCUAUACGGUGCGAUGCACACGGGUGCCGUUCCAGGCAACAAGUCUAUUCCAAACUCAACUUCUCGAUUCGGAGGCAAUCAUGGAAGCUCAUCCGGAAAAACAUCUUGGAACUCCUUUACGGUCCUAACCUUAUCCACUGUCAGUCCCUCCUCUUCCGACUGACUUACAAAUGCCAAAUAGGCCUCACAGCCUUUCCGAAUCCACUUUUCGGCUCUUAAAGCUGACACCACAUUGGACAAAUAAUCCCUUCACUCACCUAUCACUAUAAACUCCUUAUCCUUUGUGGUCCUUAACACCAUUCGUUUAGCAGCACAAUCCAGAGUCGCUUUAUGCUUAACAAGCCAGUCCAUUCCCAAAAUGAGAUCAAACUCUCCGAACGGUAACUCCAUCAGAUCUCCAGGGAAAAUCUUACCUUGAGUUUCUAAUGGUACAUCCCUAUACAGUUUGUCUACCUUAACCGAGUGACCCCAAGGACUUAGUACAGAUACCCCACCCACAAUCUCCUCAGAGCAGUCCAAGUCGUCCAUAAUCCGUUCUGUGGCCUCCAACCAAUAUUCCGCCACAUUCGGGGCUAUACCAGACACGCCCUUAAAGAUCUCCGCUCCGUUAGCCCGAAGUCGUUCAGAAAUAGAUCCCCGAACUCCAUUGCCCGUACUUGCCCCGGCAACCCUUUCCAGAACACGAAGCAUUGCCUGUGACAGGGCAUUAUCCUCGGUGGCCCGAUCAUACUGCCCAUUCUCAUCCGCCGGUGGUGGUCGUGCUACUCUAGUGGGUAUGUGUUUAGAAGAUAAAGAUCCAGCUUGAGUACUACCUCGGCCUCGACCACGGCCUCUUCCCCGAGUAGCUCUCGUCCUCAUAUCGAUUUAUCUUGAUUACGACUUUUUUAUGCAUCAAUUCAAUAUUCCAGUGUUUAUUACAGAUGUUUUAUGAAUCAGACAGUAAUUCAAAGUUUGUUUUCGCAGAAUCGAAGUCUAGCUACAGUUUCAGUCUCUUAUCAGAUUUUCCUAUGGUUUCAGAAUCAUCCUAUCUAGAGUAUCCUAGUAGGGUUUCAGUACAGACAGAUAAUUCAGAAAAAUAUUCAGAAGAGUUCAGAGUAAUACUUACAGGCUUGGGCCGGAGAUUGGGAAUGCCACCUUCUAAAGAUCUAAAUUUUGAAAACCGCAUUUUUCGCAAUCUUUAUAAAAUUUUUAUUUUCGAAGAUCUAAACUUUGUAAACCCAUUCCACAGUCGAGUUGGUGUAACCUAGGCUCUGAUACCACUAAAUGUAGCACCCCAAACCCGGCCCAGAAGUUAUGGCAGGAUCUGGCAUGCCACAUCAAAAACGUAAAAAAAAUUUUCCAUUCUAAGUCCAGAAAAUCGUACUUGAUGUUCAAAAGAUUAAUUCAUUAAGGGUUAAAGUGAAUGGAAGCUGUGCACCAGGUAGGAAACCGGUAAAGAGGUGGUGAGUCCAUCGGACUGCUUAAGUACCAAGCUCUCUUCGGAUCCAAUCCUAGACAUGCAUACCGCCAUUGCUACACCUUAACGUCAUGGAUAUUUCUAGGAAACCAAUUUUGAUUAAGUCAUUUUUAGGAAAAGUGAUUAAUUUUAGAAAAUACUUUCAUUGCGGAAGCUUUGAUUGUUGUCGUAUUAUUUUGAAAUCAAUUGUUGUUUUUGAAAACGCGCCCUAAAGCUAUCCAAUUUCAACAGUUAAAAUAAGUAAUACCUAUCUUAGUAACACAAAUUAAAACCAUCAAAAAUAAUUAAGCGGCCUUAUUACAUUUAAAAACACAAACCUCAACGUAAAUAAUAGGAUGUCCAGUUCACCAGAAGAAAACCAAACUUUUAGAACGGGUGGCCACUCCGAAUUCCCUCACAGCUCCAAGCCCACUAUGGUUGGGGAUUUCCUGCGUGGAUGAAAAUAAAAGGGGUGAGUUUGGGGAAACUCAGUAUGUAAGGAAAACCCAUUCAAAGCCCAAGUCAGCUCAAGCCUAUUGGGCCUAAGCCCAUUCAGGUAACAGUGGUACUGGGCCAGAGCCCUUUUCAGAUUACAAUAAACUGGGCCUUAGCCCCUUAUUCAGAUAACAGUAUGGCCCAUAGGCCCAUUUCAAAAUACAUGCAACAUUAGUAAACAUAUGCAAGCCCAUUUGGGGAGACUACUCAACCCACCAACCACUACACUCCACCCGUACCAGCCAUACACUCCAUGUGGGGAUAGCUCAACCCACCCAACCCAACACUCCACAGUUGCAGCCUUGCUGCUCAGUUAACAGUAAAUUGAGGCAAAGCCUCUAGUACAUGGACAAGCCACUUUCAGUACUUCCUCUGUCAAUAUCCCAAUCCCAUGCAUCAGAUAAUAACAACAUGGCAUGCAGUAAAUAACAACAGUCAAACAUGCAUUUAAGUCAAUUUACCCCUAGGGGUAUUUCGGUAAUUUAUCUCCUAGGGGUAAAACUGUAAAUUUUUCACUUUUAAAGGUAUUUCAGUAAUUUAUCUAUUUUAGGGUUUUUCA